UGGGGAAUAUUGGGCAAUGGGCGAAAGCCUGACCCAGCGACGCCGCGUGAGGGAAGAAGGUCUUCGGAUUGUAAACCUUUGUCAACAGGGACGAAACAAAUGACGGUACCUGUGGAGGAAGCCACGGCUAACUACGUGCCAGCAGCCGCGGUAAUACGUAGGUGGCGAGCGUUAUCCGGAUUUACUGGGUGUAAAGGGUGAGUAGGCGGGAAGGCAAGUCAGAUGUGAAAUGCAAUGGCUUAACCAUUGAAUUGCAUUUGAAACUGCUUUUCUUGAGAGUCGGAGAGGUAAUCGGAAUUCCUAGUGUAGCGGUGAAAUGCGUAGAGAUUAGGAGGAACACCAGUGGCGAAGGCGGAUUACUGGACGACAACUGACGCUGAGACACGAAAGCGUGGGGAGCAAACAGG
This 407-nucleotide ribosomal RNA is filed under the name uncultured prokaryote. RNAcentral describes it as "bacterial SSU rRNA". It matches the Rfam family "Bacterial small subunit ribosomal RNA", at positions 355 to 776 of the family's 1533-position model. RNAcentral also lists the same sequence under 1 other name. The record is from RNAcentral.